AAGUCGUAACAAGGUUUCCGUAGGUGAACCUGCGGAAGGAUCAUUACUGAGUAAAUUGGGUCUCUAUGGCCCAUACUCCCACCCUUUUGUGUACCUUACCAAAUGUUAAGUUGCCUUGGUAGGAAUCUAACCCCCUCCCUUUAACCAGGGAGAAAGCAGGCCUACCAUUGGAACUCUUUUAAAACUCUUUCUUAAAUGGAGUCGUCUGAGAAAUAAAUUCAAAUGAAUUAAAACUUUCAACAACGGAUCUCUUGGUUCUG
RNAcentral lists this unclassified non-coding RNA (260 nucleotides) under fungal sp. RNAcentral's name for it is "partial internal transcribed spacer region". The stretch from base 1 to 46 matches the Rfam family "Eukaryotic small subunit ribosomal RNA", at positions 1786 to 1831 of the family's 1831-position model. Lineage: Eukaryota; Fungi. The record is from RNAcentral.